GAGUUUGAUCGUGGCUCAGGAUGAACGCUAGCUACAGGCUUAACACAUGCAAGUCGAGGGGCAGCAUUUUAGUUUGCUUGCAAACUAAAGAUGGCGACCGGCGCACGGGUGAGUAACACGUAUCCAACCUGCCGAUAACUCGGGGAUAGCCUUUCGAAAGAAAGAUUAAUAUCCGAUAGUAUAUUAAAACCGCAUGGUUUUACUAUUAAAGAAUUUCGGUUAUCGAUGGGGAUGCGUUCCAUUAGUUUGUUGGCGGGUAACGGCCCACCAAGACUACGAUGGAUAGGGGUUCUGAGAGGAAGGUCCCCCACAUUGGAACUGAGACACGGUCCAAACUCCUACGGGAGGCAGCAGUGAGGAAUCUUCCACAAUGGGCGCAAGCCUGAUGGAGCAAC
This 395-nucleotide ribosomal RNA is filed under the name uncultured bacterium. Its description in RNAcentral is "bacterial SSU rRNA". It matches the Rfam family "Bacterial small subunit ribosomal RNA", at positions 9 to 395 of the family's 1533-position model. The record is from RNAcentral.